CGGAAAUCGACAUAAUAGUAUCAGAUUUGAAAUUAGUCUUUGAGAGUUCGUUUUCUGCGUAUUGCGGACGUAUUCGAAAUCUGCAGAUCGAAAUAGUGUGUUGUAUCUAUACAUCCUUCUACCAUGUCGCAGUUUGCUUUCGCGAAUGAUUU
This is a non-coding RNA of Zootermopsis nevadensis, 152 nucleotides long. Lineage: Eukaryota; Metazoa; Arthropoda; Insecta; Blattodea; Termopsidae. The record is from RefSeq and is a predicted model, not a curated record.